RNAcentral lists this ribosomal RNA (382 nucleotides) under Yersinia ruckeri. RNAcentral's name for it is "bacterial LSU rRNA". It matches the Rfam family "Bacterial large subunit ribosomal RNA", at positions 1 to 413 of the family's 2925-position model. The record is from RNAcentral. Lineage: Bacteria; Pseudomonadati; Pseudomonadota; Gammaproteobacteria; Enterobacterales; Yersiniaceae.
GGGUUGUGAGGUUAAGCGACUAAGCGUACACGGUGGAUGCCUAGGCAGUCAGAGGCGAUGAAGGGCGUGCUAAUCUGCGAAAAGCGUCGGUAAGCUGAUAUGAAGCGUAAUAACCGACGAUACCCGAAUGGGGAAACCCAGUGCAAUUCGUUGCACUAUUGCAUGGUGAAUACAUAGCCAUGCAAGGCGAACCGGGGGAACUGAAACAUCUAAGUACCCCGAGGAAAAGAAAUCAACCGAGAUUCCCCCAGUAGCGGCGAGCGAACGGGGAAGAGCCCAGAGUCUGAAUCAGUUGGUGUGUUAGUGGAAGCGUCUGGAAAGUCGCACGGUACAGGGUGAUAGUCCCGUACACAAAAACACACUGGCUGUGAACUCGAUGAGU